This 253-nucleotide ribosomal RNA is filed under the name uncultured bacterium. RNAcentral's name for it is "partial 16S ribosomal RNA". It matches the Rfam family "Bacterial small subunit ribosomal RNA", at positions 524 to 776 of the family's 1533-position model. The record is from RNAcentral.
UACGAAGGGGGCUAGCGUUGUUCGGAAUUACUGGGCGUAAAGCGCGUGUAGGCGGCAACGCAAGUCGGGCGUGAAAUCCCACGGCUCAACCGUGGAAGUGCACUCGAAACUGCGUAGCUAGAGUCCUGGAGAGGAAGGUGGAAUGCUUGGUGUAGAGGUGAAAUUCGUAGAUAUCAAGCGGAACACCGGUGGCGAAGGCGGCCUUCUGGACAGUGAAUGACGCUGAGACGCGAAAGCGUGGGGAGCAAACAGG